AGGCUUUCAUAUUCUACUAUUGUUUAAGACAAUUAUUUAAAACCGAGGCUUUCAAUUGGAAUUCGUCUCUCACACUCAAUACAAUUAUUUAAACACAAGUAACAGUUCAGUAGCAAUCAGAGUUCAUGUUCUAAACCAUAAUAAUAAGCAGAACAUUCAUGUCUUAUCUUAGUAAAACAUUCAGAGUUCUGUAGUAAUCAGUAGCAAUCGAAAACUAAAAAAAUUCAAUUUCACAUUACUAAAGAACAUGUAAUCAUCAAAUCAGAAUCAGAAUUGAAGGAAAUUACAUUCAAUUUCA
RNAcentral lists this long non-coding RNA (298 nucleotides) under Medicago truncatula (barrel medic). Its description in RNAcentral is "long non-coding RNA (MTRU_LNC006397)". Lineage: Eukaryota; Viridiplantae; Streptophyta; Magnoliopsida; Fabales; Fabaceae. The record is from RNAcentral.